CCUACGGGAGGCAGCAAUGGGGGAUAUUGCACAAUGGGGGGAACCCUGAUGCAGCGACGCCGCGUGGGUGAAGAAGCGCCUCGGCGUGUAAAGCUCUGUCAGCAGGGAAGAAAAUGACGGCACCUGAAGCAGAAGCCCCGGCUAACUACGUGCCAGCAGCCGCGGCAAUACGCAGGGGGCAAGCGUUAUCCGGAUUUACUGGGCGUAAAGGGGGCGUAGACGGGUUUGCAAGCCAGGAGUGAAAGCCCGGGGCCCAACCCCGGGACUGCUCUUGAAACUGCGAGGCUGGAGUGCAGGAGGGGCAGGCGGAAUGCGUGGUGUAGCGGUGAAAUGCGUAGAUAUCAGGAGGAACACCGGUGGCGAAGGCGGCCUGCUGGACUGCAACUGACGUUGAGGCCCGAAAGCGUGGGGAGCAAACAGGAUUAGAUACCCCUGUAGUC
This 440-nucleotide ribosomal RNA is filed under the name uncultured bacterium. Its description in RNAcentral is "partial 16S ribosomal RNA". It matches the Rfam family "Bacterial small subunit ribosomal RNA", at positions 338 to 795 of the family's 1533-position model. The record is from RNAcentral.